Molecule: ribosomal RNA, 301 nt
Filed under: uncultured bacterium
Lineage: Bacteria
Description: partial 16S ribosomal RNA
Rfam family: Bacterial small subunit ribosomal RNA
Source: RNAcentral
CAGUAGCCGCGGUAAUACGUAGGUGGCAAGCGUUGUCCGGAAUUAUUGGGCGUAAAGGGCUCGCAGGCGGUUUCUUAAGUCUGAUGUGAAAGCCCCCGGCUCGACCGGGGAGGGUCAUUGGAAACUGGGAAACUUGAGUGCAGAAGAGGAGAGUGGAAUUCCACGUGUAGCGGUGAAAUGCGUAGAGAUGUGGAGGAACACCAGUGGCGAAGGCGACUCUCUGGUCUGUAACUGACGCUGAGGAGCGAAAGCGUGGGGAGCGAACAGGAUUAGAUACCCCCGUAGUCCCUGUCUCUUAUAA